This 99-nucleotide ribosomal RNA is filed under the name Acanthosepion pharaonis. The record is from RNAcentral. Lineage: Eukaryota; Metazoa; Mollusca; Cephalopoda; Sepiida; Sepiidae.
GCUGAAACACCGGUUCUCGUACGAUCGCCGAAGUUAAGCAGCGUAGAGCCAGGUCAGUACUUAGAUGGGGGACCGCUUGGGAACACCUGGUACUGUAAG